RNAcentral lists this ribosomal RNA (253 nucleotides) under uncultured bacterium. RNAcentral describes it as "partial 16S ribosomal RNA". It matches the Rfam family "Bacterial small subunit ribosomal RNA", at positions 524 to 776 of the family's 1533-position model. The record is from RNAcentral.
UACGAGUGGGGCAAGCGUUGUUCGGAAUUACUGGGCUUAAAGCGUGCGUAGGCGGUCAUGAAAGUCAGAAGUGAAAGCCCUGGGCUUAACCCGGGAAUUGCUUUUGAAACUCCAUGACUAGAGACCGGGAGAGGUUAGCAGAAUUCCGAGUGGAGAGGUGAAAUUCGCAGAUAUUCGGAGGAAUACCAGUGGCGAAGGCGGCUAACUGGACCGGUACUGACGCUCAGGCACGAAAGCGUGGGGAUCAAACAGG